CCUACGGGAGGCAGCAGUGGGGAAUUUUGGACAAUGGACGCAAGUCUGAUCCAGCCAUGCCGCGUGUGGGAAGAAGGCCUUCGGGUUGUAAACCACUUUUGUCAGGGAAGAAACGGCCUGGGUUAAUACCUUGGGCUAAUGACGGUACCUGAAGAAUAAGCACCGGCUAACUACGUGCCAGCAGCCGCGGUAAUACGUAGGGUGCAAGCGUUAAUCGGAAUUACUGGGCGUAAAGCGUGCGCAGGCGGUUAUGCAAGACAGAUGUGAAAUCCCCGGGCUCAACCUGGGAACUGCAUUUGUGACUGCAUGGCUAGAGUACGGUAGAGGGGGAUGGAAUUCCGCGUGUAGCAGUGAAAUGCGUAGAUAUGCGGAGGAACACCGAUGGCGAAGGCAAUCCCCUGGACCUGUACUGACGCUCAUGCACGAAAGCGUGGGGAGCAAACAGGAUUAGAUACCCUGGUAGUCCACGCCCUAAACGAUGUCAACUGGUUGUUGGGAGGGUUUCUUCUCAGUAACGUAGCUAACGCGUGAAGUUGACCGCCUGGGGAGUACGGCCGCAAGGUUGAAACUCAAAUGAAAUUGGAGCGNGAGAGNGCGAGACGACGACGAGGGAGGAGG
RNAcentral lists this ribosomal RNA (618 nucleotides) under uncultured bacterium. RNAcentral describes it as "bacterial SSU rRNA". It matches the Rfam family "Bacterial small subunit ribosomal RNA", at positions 338 to 948 of the family's 1533-position model. The record is from RNAcentral.